This is a long non-coding RNA of Symphalangus syndactylus (siamang), 330 nucleotides long. RefSeq lists it as uncharacterized. The record is from RefSeq and is a predicted model, not a curated record. Lineage: Eukaryota; Metazoa; Chordata; Mammalia; Primates; Hylobatidae.
GGACACAGAAAAAGAAGGGAUCAAUGAAUUCAAAGUUCAUCUGCAUCUCGUUAUUGGGCCACAAGAAAUAGCAACCAGACCCUCAGUUUGGUCUGGCAACAAGACUGCAACAUCAACUCAUCUCUGCCCAACUGCCCUAUGAAUUUCAGACUUGAAAGCCCCACAAUCGCAGAUCUACUGGCAGAGGACGAACGCCUUACUGGCUCAAGAUGUCUGAGGCAACCACUGUCCAAGCACUGGGUGACCACUGAUCACUAAGCUAUGCAGACAGGAAGGCAACUCCUAGAAAGCCAUGCUUAAAAAUGAAAACAAUUAUAAAGUGUGUGCAUG